This 972-nucleotide ribosomal RNA is filed under the name Triticum aestivum (bread wheat). Its description in RNAcentral is "partial small subunit ribosomal RNA". The record is from RNAcentral. Lineage: Eukaryota; Viridiplantae; Streptophyta; Magnoliopsida; Poales; Poaceae.
GUCUCUACCUCCGAAGAGAGCCCCCUGCCCUCUAGUCCUGGAUCGGAGGACACUACGCCGUCGACAGGCAGAGUCGCUCACCCCUGAGCUCGCAUGACCAGGACCAACAGGUUGCCGGGAGGGGACGACAAACACAACGACCGCACCAGGCAGCCGCACCACCGAGCAUCGCCAACGCCGCGCGCCGGCGCCAACAUCAACCGCAAGUGGCCGAGCAUGGACACCACUGACGAUAUCCGGCAGCCACCUCCCAUGCCAAGGCCUCGACCAACACUCCGUCGCACCAAGGUGGUGUCUUCAAGAAGAAAAACGACGCCGGGGCGCCGUCACCACCCAAUCCGGAGAUUUGGGGCUUUCAGCCGGGACGAGGAAGGGAGGGCGAGGGGGGGAUUGCGAAGCCGCCUUCAAGAAGGGGAACGACGCCGGAGCGCCGCCGGCAUCGUGGCCGCAGAGAACAGCCAAGGGGUUUCCCCCAAUCCAUCCCCCGAGAGGAAGCACCAUCGCCAGAUCUGCUCCCAGGGCAAACGGGGAAGCCCCAGGAGCCAGCCACGCUCGCCGCCGAUCCGCCGCCCACGCGGCCAGGAGCGGCGCACCCCGCAUCUGCAUCAGCCACCCGCCGAAGGGGGGCCGACGCGCUCCACCAAUGGCCGCCGCCACCACGCCAGGCGCCACCGCGCAGAACAGAGCACACCAAGCCCAACACACCGCCGCCAGGCACCGGCCCCGCCACCGUUGUCCGCCGCCGCGCCGUCACGCCCUCGGCCAGCGCCAUGCCGCCGCCCGCUGACCCCGACCCGCGUCGGCCCUAGUGAGCAGGGGGAAGGAAGGCCCCGCCGCCGCCGAGGCUGACCGGGCUUCGCCCGUCAGCGCGAGCCGGCGGCGGCGAGGGAGGAGUCGAGGAGGAGGGGGGCCUGUUACCGGCGGCUAGGGUUUCCCCUCCGCGUCGCCCGCAGGAGCGACCGGGAGGGGAGG